Apodemus sylvaticus (European woodmouse) is the source of this 121-nucleotide small nucleolar RNA. RefSeq annotates it as small nucleolar RNA SNORA5. The record is from RefSeq and is a predicted model, not a curated record. The transcript has a single exon. Lineage: Eukaryota; Metazoa; Chordata; Mammalia; Rodentia; Muridae.
UGCAGUCAAGUCAAAUUCAGUCCCUGCCCUGUCAUGGUGGGAACUGGCCUAGAUGGCUGCUGCUCAUGGGCUCUGGGUCCCCUUUCCUGGAACCUGGGGAUAAGUUUAGCUGCAGACACUG